Molecule: ribosomal RNA, 413 nt
Filed under: uncultured bacterium
Lineage: Bacteria
Description: bacterial SSU rRNA
Rfam family: Bacterial small subunit ribosomal RNA
Source: RNAcentral
UGGGGAAUUUUGGACAAUGGGGGCAACCCUGAUCCAGCCAUCCCGCGUGUGCGAUGAAGGCCUUCGGGUUGUAAAGCACUUUUGGCAGGGAAGAAACAGCCUGGGCUAAUAUCCCGGGCGACUGACGGUACCUGCAGAAUAAGCACCGGCUAACUACGUGCCAGCAGCCGCGGUAAUACGUAGGGUGCAAGCGUUAAUCGGAAUUACUGGGCGUAAAGCGUGCGCAGGCGGUUCGGAAAGAAAGGUGUGAAAUCCCAGGGCUUAACCGUGGAGCGGAACUUUUAACUACCGAGCUAGAGUAAGUGAGAGGGGGGGAAAAUUCCACGUGUAGCGUGGAAAUGCGUAGAGAUGUGGAGAAAUACCGAUGGCGAAGGCAGCCCCCGGGGAUGAUACUGACGCUCAUGCACGAAAGC